GACGAACGCUGGCGGCGUGCUUAACACAUGCAAGUCGAACGGAAAGGCCCUGCUUUUGUGGGGUGCUCGAGUGGCGAACGGGUGUGUAACACGUGAGUAACCUGCCCUUGACUUUGGGAUAACUUCAGGAAACUGGGGCUAAUACCGGAUAGGAGCUCCUGCUGCAUGGUGGGGGUUGGAAAGUUUCGGCGGUUGGGGAUGGACUCGCGGCUUAUUAGGUUGUUGGUGGGGUAGUUGCUUACCAAGGCUUUGACGGGUAGCCGGCCUGAGAGGGUGACCGGCCACAAUGGGACUGAGAUACGACCCAGACUACUACGGGAGGCAGCAGUGGGGAAUAUUGCACAAUGGGCGGAAGCCUGAUGCAGCAACGCCGCGUGCGGGAUGACGGCCUUCGGGUUGUAAACCGCUUUCGCCUGUGACGAAGCGUGAGUGACGGUAAUGGGUAAAGAAGCACCGGCUAACUACGUG
Molecule: ribosomal RNA, 468 nt
Filed under: uncultured bacterium
Lineage: Bacteria
Description: partial 16S ribosomal RNA
Rfam family: Bacterial small subunit ribosomal RNA
Source: RNAcentral